UGAAUACGAGACGCUACGGCGUCGAAGCAGUCUAUGUCAUACUUCCAAGAAAAGCUCGCAAUGUCAUAAACAAAUAGUGCCUGUACCAUAACCGACACAGGUGGGUAGGUAGAGUAUACUAAGGGGCGCGAGAUAACUCUCUCUAAGGAACUCGGCAAAAUGACUCCGUAACUUCGGGAGAAGGAGUGCCUUAUUUAUAAGGUUGCAAUAACAAGAUCCAAGCAACUGUUUAUCAAAAACACAGGUCUCCGCUAAGUCGUAAGACGAUGUAUGGGGGCUGACGCCUGCCCAGUGCCAGAAGGUUAAAGAAGUUGGUUAGCAUUCGCGAAGCUGAUAACUGAAGCCCUGGUGAACGGCGGCCGUAACAAUAACGGUCCUAAGGUAGCGAAAUUCCUUGUCGGGUAAGUUCCGACCCGCACGAAAGGCGUAAUGAUUUGGAUACUGUCUCGGAGAGGGGCUCGGUGAAAUAGACUUGUCUGUGAAGAUGCGGACUACCUGCACCUGGACAGAAAGACCCUAUGAAGCUUUACUGUAACUUGAAAUUGAAAUUGGACUUUAUUUGCGCAGCAUAGGUGGGAGGCGUUGAGAGUAUUCUUGCGGGAAUAUUGGAGCCAUCAGUGAGAUACCACUCUUGUAAUGUUAGAUUUCUAACUUUGGAUCAUUAUCUGGUCAAAGAACAGUUUCAGGCGGGCAGUUUGACUGGGGCGGUCGCCUCCCAAAUGGUAACGGAGGCGUACAAAGGUUUCCUCUGAACGGGUAGAAAUCGUAUCUAGAGUGUAAAGGCAUAAGGAAGCUUGACUGUGAGACCUACAAGUCGAGCAGGGACGAAAGUCGGUCUUAGUGAUCUGACGGUGCUGAGUGGAAAGGCCGUCACUCAACGGAUAAAAGUUACUCUAAGGAUAACAGGCUGAUCUCCCCCAAGAGUUCACAUCGACGGGGAGGUUUGGCACCUCGAUGUCGGCUCAUCGCAUCCUGGGGCGGUAGUACGUCCCAAGGGUUGGGCUGUUCGCCCAUGAAAGCGGUACGCGAGCUGGGUUCAGAACGUCGUGAGACAGUUCGGUCCAUAUCCGGUGUAGGCGUUAGAAUAUUGAGAGGAGCCUUCUUUAGUACGAGAGGACCGAGAAGGACAUACCUCUGGUGUACCAGUUAUCGUGCCAACGGUAAACGCUGGGUAGCUAUGUAUGGAGAGGAUAACCGCUGAAAGCAUCUAAGUGGGAAGCCCACCUCAAGAUAAG
This 1235-nucleotide ribosomal RNA is filed under the name metagenome. Its description in RNAcentral is "bacterial LSU rRNA". It matches the Rfam family "Bacterial large subunit ribosomal RNA", at positions 1564 to 2808 of the family's 2925-position model. The record is from RNAcentral.